Molecule: ribosomal RNA, 541 nt
Filed under: uncultured bacterium
Lineage: Bacteria
Description: bacterial SSU rRNA
Rfam family: Bacterial small subunit ribosomal RNA
Source: RNAcentral
CCUUACCAGGUCUUGACAUCCCGUUGACCGCUAUGGAGACAUAGUUUUCCCUUCGGGGACAAUGGUGACAGGUGGUGCAUGGUUGUCGUCAGCUCGUGUCGUGAGAUGUUGGGUUAAGUCCCGCAACGAGCGCAACCCUUGAUCUUAGUUGCCAUCAUUUAGUUGGGCACUCUAAGGUGACUGCCGGUGAUAAACCGGAGGAAGGUGGGGAUGACGUCAAAUCAUCAUGCCCCUUAUGACCUGGGCUACACACGUGCUACAAUGGACGGUACAAACGGUUGCCAACCCGCGAGGGGGAGCUAAUCCGAUAAAACCGUUCUCAGUUCGGAUUGUAGGCUGCAACUCGCCUACAUGAAGCCGGAAUCGCUAGUAAUCGCGGAUCAGCAUGCCGCGGUGAAUACGUUCCCGGGCCUUGUACACACCGCCCGUCACACCACGAGAGUUUGUAACACCCGAAGUCGGUGAGGUAACCUUUUGGAGCCAGCCGCCGAAGGUGGGAUAGAUGAUUGGGGUGAAGUCGUAACAAGGUAAGCGUAGAUGA